This 500-nucleotide ribosomal RNA is filed under the name uncultured bacterium. RNAcentral's name for it is "bacterial SSU rRNA". It matches the Rfam family "Bacterial small subunit ribosomal RNA", at positions 80 to 582 of the family's 1533-position model. The record is from RNAcentral.
UGCCAUUUGAGGAAAGUGGCAAACGGGUGAGUAACACGUAAGCAAUCUGCCCUUGAGAGAGGAAUAGCCUCACGAAAGCGUGAUUAAUACCUCAUAACACUCUGGGACAAAAGUCUUCAGAGUCAAAGCCUUCGGGCGCUUGAGGAUGAGCUUGCGGCCUAUUAGCUAGUUGGUAGGGUAACUGCCUACCAAGGCUGAGAUGGGUAGCCGGCCUGAGAGGGUGUACGGUCACACUGGAACUGCGACACGGUCCAGACUCCUACGGGAGGCAGCAGUGGGGAAUUUUGCGCAAUGGGCGAAAGCCUGACGCAGCGACGCCGCGUGGAGGAUGAAGGCCUUCGGGUUGUAAACUCCUGUCAGAAGAGAAGAAUUCCCGAUUUAUCGGGUUGACGGUAUCUUCAGAGGAAGCCCCGGCCAACUACGUGCCAGCAGCCGCGGUAAAACGUAGGGGGCAAACGUUGCUCGGAAUUACUGGGCUUAAAGGGUACGCAGGUGGUUAA